CAACGAGUGGCGGACGGGUGAGUAACACGUAGGUAACCUGCCCAGAAGCGGGGGACAACAUUUGGAAACAGAUGCUAAUACCGCAUAACAGCGUUGUUCGCAUGAACAACGCUUAAAAGAUGGCUUCUCGCUAUCACUUCUGGAUGGACCUGCGGUGCAUUAGCUUGUUGGUGGGGUAACGGCCUACCAAGGCGAUGAUGCAUAGCCGAGUUGAGAGACUGAUCGGCCACAAUGGGACUGAGACACGGCCCAUACUCCUACGGGAGGCAGCAGUAGGGAAUCUUCCACAAUGGGCGCAAGCCUGAUGGAGCAACACCGCGUGAGUGAAGAAGGGUUUCGGCUCGUAAAGCUCUGUUGUUAAAGAAGAACACGUAUGAGAGUAACUGUUCAUACGUUGACGGUAUUUAACCAGAAAGUCACGGCUAACUACGUGCCAGCAGCCGCGGUAAUACGUAGGUGGCAAGCGUUAUCCGGGAUUUAUUGGGCGUAAAGAGAGUGCAGGCGGUUUUCUAAGUCUGAUGUGAAAGCCUUCGGCUUAACCGGAGAAGUGCAUCGGAAACUGGAUAACUUGAGUGCAGAAGAGGGUAGUGGAACUCCAUGUGUAGCGGUGGAAUGCGUAGAUAUAUGGAAGAACACCAGUGGCGAAGGCGGCUACCUGGUCUGCAACUGACGCUGAGACUCGAAAGCAUGGGUAGCGAACAGGAUUAGAUACCCUGGUAGUCCAUGCCGUAAACGAUGAGUGCUAGGUGUUGGAGGGUUUCCGCCCUUCAGUGCCGGAGCUAACGCAUUAAGCACUCCGCCUGGGGAGUACGACCGCAAGGUUGAAACUCAAAGGAAUUGACGGGGGCCCGCACAAGCGGUGGAGCAUGUGGUUUAAUUCGAAGCUACGCGAAGAACCUUACCAGGUCUUGACAUCUUGCGCCAACCCUAGAGAUAGGGCGUUUCCUUCGGGAACGCAAUGACAGGUGGUGCAUGGUCGUCGUCAGCUCGUGUCGUGAGAUGUUGGGUUAAGUCCCGCAACGAGCGCAACCCUUGUUACUAGUUGCCAGCAUUAAGUUGGGCACUCUAGUGAGACUGCCGGUGACAAACCGGAGGAAGGUGGGGACGACGUCAGAUCAUCAUGCCCCUUAUGACCUGGGCUACACACGUGCUACAAUGGACGGUACAACGAGUCGCGAACUCGCGAGGGCAAGCAAAUCUCUUAAAACCGUUCUCAGUUCGGACUGCAGGCUGCAACUCGCCUGC
Molecule: ribosomal RNA, 1245 nt
Filed under: Limosilactobacillus fermentum
Lineage: Bacteria; Bacillati; Bacillota; Bacilli; Lactobacillales; Lactobacillaceae
Description: bacterial SSU rRNA
Rfam family: Bacterial small subunit ribosomal RNA
Source: RNAcentral